This is a long non-coding RNA of Carassius gibelio (silver crucian carp), 894 nucleotides long. RefSeq lists it as uncharacterized. NCBI's taxonomy places the organism in Eukaryota, Metazoa, Chordata, Actinopteri, Cypriniformes, Cyprinidae. The record is from RefSeq and is a predicted model, not a curated record. The transcript has 3 exons.
UAACUUUUUUUAUUUUUAUAUAUAGUGCUGCUUGAAAAUCAUACAUGUGACCCCAAAAGAUCAUCAGAUUUUCACACAAAUCCUGAAAGUUGACAGAGAAUCCAUGUCUUUUUUUGAUUGCAUUCUCUUUGUCAACUUUCAGGACUGAAAAUCUGAUGAUCUUUUGGGUCAUUCCUAUGCAGAAAUAUAGACCAUUAUAAAGGGUUCACAAACUUUCAAGCAGCACUGUAUAAUCAAAUAUAAUUGAUUAAUAUAAUGGCAAGGCUUUAUAUUUUCAGUACCCAUUACUCUAGCCUUCAGUCUCCACAUGAUCCACAACCCAUUCUCACUCCAAAGGCGUCAAAAACCGAAGCAUGGUCAAGCGCCCCUAGCGUCACUUUUAUGACGCCAAAUGUGCCUCUCGGCGUCGAAUAUCGAAGCACUACGACCUUCAUUGCUUUCAAUGGGAAACUUUUGGCGUCAGAAUUUGACACGAGGACAUGAAAUGUUUAUCGCUAUGAAAUCACGUUCAAGAAGUCUCAUUCAGCACACAUCGCGAUACUUGCUAUCAGUUCCACAGUUUGGCUGAAAAGACAUAAAGGCAGUCAGCCCAGUGGUGUUUCUGGAGAGGGAUUCCUUCAGAAAUGGAGAAGACAGAAAGCUGCGGAGGCAGAUAUAUGCAGCAGAUUGUUUGAGGAUAACGCUGUAGCUCCAUCAUGCACAAGGACUCACCUCGUUUACUCUUUAUCACCCACACACACAGAAAUGGUCCCUGGAUCAGUGAUUAGACUUUGCAGUGGUUUGAUUUUUGCAGAAGAUGUAACUUUGUUUUAAUUAUAAGCUCAUAAUGAAUACAUUACAGAACCAGUGAUGAAAACAAUAGUUAAAAAUAGCGCUCCAUAUUAAAAAUAUAUU